Molecule: ribosomal RNA, 491 nt
Filed under: uncultured bacterium
Lineage: Bacteria
Description: partial 16S ribosomal RNA
Rfam family: Bacterial small subunit ribosomal RNA
Source: RNAcentral
AGUGAACGCUGGCGGUAGGCCUAACACAUGCAAGUCGAACGGCAGCACAGUAAGAGCUUGCUCUUACGGGUGGCGAGUGGCGGACGGGUGAGGAAUACAUCGGAAUCUACUUUUUCGUGGGGGUUAACGUAGGGAAACUUACGCUAAUACCGCAUACGACCUACGGGUGAAAGCAGGGGAUCUUCGGACCUUGCGCGAUUGAAUGAGCCGAUGUCGGAUUAGCUAGUUGGCGGGGUAAAGGCCCACCAAGGCGCGGAUCCGUAGCUGGUCUGAGAGGAUGAUCCGCCACACUGGAACUGAGACGCGGUCCAGACUCCUACGGGAGGCAGCAGUGGGGACUAUUGGACAAUGUGCGCAAGCCUGAUCCAGCCAUGCCACGUGGGUGAAGAAGGCCUUCGGGUGGUAAAGCCCUUUUGUUGGGAAAGAAAAGCAGCAGGUUAAUACCCCGCUGUUCUGACGGUACCCAUAGAAUAAGCACCGGCUAACUUCGU